CCGUUCGUGAUGCUUUGGUUAAGCGGCCGUGUUGGAAACAAUAACAGUGACUAACCAAACAUAACGAACAAACUAAGUGAAACGUCGCAACUAGUCAAAUAUGCGAGACCUAAACGGUCGCAUCUCCCUCAAUAGAAUAAUAACAGUGUACACUCAAUUUUUAAUACAGGUAAUAUAUUCUUUCUAUCAAAAACUCUCAAGCUCGCUUGCUUCUAAUACUAACCAAUCGAUCAGAUUCAAUGCAUGCUGGUUGCGUUUAGUCUACUGCACUGCUAUGUCCGCAUCAGUCUCUGUGGGGGCUAUCACACACUCCAGGAGCCCAUCGGACCUCGGUGUGUAUACCGAGCACACAUUCGAUAUCGAUCCUAUCGAUCUGUCACCUCAUGAAGAAGCUAAGUGAAACGACUUACGGCUACCGACAAGUGGGUUGGAUUUGAUGUAGCUGGCGUUCGAUGGAAUGCUGAAUUCCUGUGAUCAAACGUUUGUAAGGAAAUAUGUUUCAACACAUGAGGUCUGUCCGGAAUGUCACCGUGAAUCCCUGGAGCUUGCAAGCCUCGAAUGCCUGGGAUCUCCGCCAGCGCUCACACGUCGCUGUAUGUUCCGCUACUUGAGGUGACAGGCAGAUGAGAACCGACGCAUUGAAGGAUGUUAUUCAAGACUGAAUGUUGAAUGGUGGGGGCGCGAUGGCGCUCCGCGAUUUACGGUAGCUGAGAUUUGCACUGGGAAAACGAUGGCGGAAACUUGCCGCAACAGCGAUGGCGGCAUUCUGUGACCGUAUGGCUGCUAGUGUUCCAACUGCUGCUCAACUACACUGUUUUACCUCUUGUGCUAGGAAACAUCUGUGGGUCGUCUUGUCCCUCCGGAAGCAAGGAGGACGCCACAGUGGUCGACGUCAAUGGGGAAUUACUUGUGGAAUCCAUCUGCCAACAAUCUGCCAACAAAUCGUGAGUCAUCAAAUCGACUCAGUAUUAAUUUUAGAAUAAAACUUGCACUUGGAGUAUCAAAACAACAAUUAUUAGUUGAGUUAAUGUAGGACAUCUUGAGUGAGUGAGAAAAUUAGUUCUAGUGUAGAAAAGUAAUUCCUUGUCGACGUUUAGUGUUGAUAUUUCCAAAAUAAUUAUGUUUACAUUUUUAGUUCUUUGACUACCCCUCAUGUUGAACAAGACUUUAAAGUGGGAGCACUAAUAACGUUUCCUGAGCUCUAGAGAUUUUCAAUCGGAUGAAGAGUUUGGAUAUAAUCCAAGCAAAACUUGGAGCUCAUACUUCUACAGUGUUGAUUGAUGCACUUGCAAAUUUGGAACAAUUGAUGAAGCCCGCAGUUUUUUUUAAUGGAGUGAACAAUCUGAGAUGUUCACCGAAUGUGGUGACUUAUGCAACUCCGUCUAUGGGCUUGCAAAGGCUAGUGGACUGAGAAGGGAGUUCUGGAAUUUGGGGCGGAGUCUAUCGAUAGGGGUCCGGGCGUCAAACGCUCCUCUCUCUUUUCUGCUUUUGGUUCUGUUUGCGAGAGCUCUGGAAAAUCCGGUGUGCUGCGGCUAGGGCCGUUCCGUCCACACUUGUGUUUUCUUCUUGCUGGUGAUCUAUCCUCUUCGGCGGCCGAGGUUUGUGAGCGCUCUCUCUUGUUCUUCCUUGUCUUCGUUCUUACGGAGUAGUGGCGUUGCGUCGCUGGUUCUUUCUCUUGCUCAUGGUUCAGAAGGCGGCGACUGGUUUUUGGUGGUGCUGCAAUUGCUUCCUACGGCAUUGUUGUGGUUCUUUCUCUUCCUCGUGGAUUCGCGGAAGGCAAUUCGGUAGUUGUGCUCGAUAGUUUACUCGGGGUAGCAGCAGGAACUGUGAAGCUCGCGUUUACAACGUGAUUCUGGUUCUUAAUCUUCUGAUCCAUUCUUCCGCCUUGUUGCUCGGUCUUGUGUGGUUGUGUUCUUUUAAAUGUUAUGAUGGUCCCUUCCUUGAGUCUAGUCCGCCAUCAUGUGUUCAGUACCAUUUGUUGUUUGUUUGAACCCAACCACUCAUUGCUGAUCAGUCUCUUGUUGUUGAUCGUCUAUCUCUAAUCGUGUUCUUGCCCGUGUUCCGUUAGUGACUUGCGGCAGAGCCGCAUGCUCUUUGCUCACUUUUCUUUUCUUUUUCUUUUCUUUUCUUUUUUUCUUUUUUUUCGAUCUGCUUGUUCUGUUGAGCGCCAGGUCGGCUGUCAACGGUGCUUGGUUCCCUGCAGCUGCUUGGUCUACGUUUAGUUCGUCCUCCCGUGCUCUCACAAGAUGUUGGAGUAGAAGAAGCAAGCUGGGGUGCGAUAUACGUGCGGAGCGGCUUGGGAGUUGACUUGGAGCUACAACAGAAGCUGAGGGGUGGUUGUUAUCUUUGACCUCGUUCUUGUGGUUCCUGCGGCAAGUCUGAUUCUGCCGACAGUUUUGCGUCGUUCCAUUCUUUGGAGUAGACGAUCUUCACGAGCUCCAAUUCUUUUUUUUUUUUUUUUUUUUUCUUUUUUCUCUCUAGUAUAUGGUGGGGCUGCAAGCUUCGGAUCUCUAAAGUGUUGGCUUUAGUCGGAGAGCUGCUGUGUUGAAUUGCUUUGGAUUAGCGGGGUCACGUUGACGUCUAGCUCGAUUCCCACUUUUCGGUUAUUUUUUGCUUUUCUCCCUUAAGACUCGUGAUUGGAGCAACAUGGUGAUUUCCGGCACACCUUCUGCAACGUGGCUGGUUGAAGUCGAGCGCCAAGCAAUCCAGGAGCGGAUGUCUUUGGUUCUUCUCCGAUCGUUGGUUGUGUGGUAAUGCAGCAAUGGCCGGCCCAAGGCAAGACUGCUGGGGAUCUUGCGUGGUCCCUAUAAGAUGACGUUGUGGUUGUAAUGCACUUUCAGAAUCAGUAUCUAGCACUCACAACUCGGCUUUUGGUGGUUAUUGAGAUAGGUGUCUACAUUGCUGAGGUCGGCUGCUUGAUGUGGGAGUAACAAGUCUAGGCUAUGUUAAAAUAAACAAGUAUUAUCAUAGGUAUGGUAAAGUAAAUAAGUAUUAUCUUAGGUGAGUUACUAAUGGUUUAAGAGUAGCAAAAAGGUGUAGAGAAGUAAUUAAAGUGGCGAUUAGAUGAAGUGGAAUCUAGGGUUUUAUUGGAUGAAGCAAAGAUGGAUGAAGAUGAAGUUCAACUAUAAUAGAUAUAAACUCCACCUAUAAGUAAAAGUUGUUGGAAGUGAGAAUUAACUCAUUCUACAUUUUCUUGUGUA
This is a non-coding RNA of Physcomitrium patens, 3200 nucleotides long. Lineage: Eukaryota; Viridiplantae; Streptophyta; Bryopsida; Funariales; Funariaceae. The record is from RefSeq and is a predicted model, not a curated record.